This 73-nucleotide transfer RNA is filed under the name Candidatus Kerfeldbacteria bacterium. RNAcentral's name for it is "tRNA-Ala". It matches the Rfam family "tRNA". From Rfam's summary of the family: Transfer RNA (tRNA) molecules are approximately 80 nucleotides in length. Their secondary structure includes four short double-helical elements and three loops (D, anti-codon, and T loops). The record is from RNAcentral. Lineage: Bacteria; Candidatus Kerfeldiibacteriota.
GGGCCGGUAGCUCAGUUGGUAGAGCACAUCCAUGGCAUGGAUGGGGUCCGGGGUUCGAAUCCCCGUCGGUCCA